RNAcentral lists this ribosomal RNA (373 nucleotides) under uncultured organism. RNAcentral describes it as "partial 16S ribosomal RNA". It matches the Rfam family "Bacterial small subunit ribosomal RNA", at positions 527 to 896 of the family's 1533-position model. The record is from RNAcentral.
GUAGGUGGCAAGCGUUGUCCGGAAUUAUUGGGCGUAAAGCGCGCGCAGGCGGUUCUUUAAGUCUGAUGUGAAAGCCCACGGCUCAACCGUGGAGGGUCAUUGGAAACUGGAGAACUUGAGUACAGAAGAGGAAAGCGGAAUUCCACGUGUAGCGGUGAAAUGCGUAGAGAUGUGGAGGAACACCAGUGGCGAAGGCGGCUUUCUGGUCUGUAACUGACGCUGAGGCGCGAAAGCGUGGGGAGCAAACAGGGACUAGAUACCCUGGCAGUCCACGCCGUAAACGAUGAGUGCUAAGUGUUAGGGGGUUUCCGCCCCCCUUAGUGCUGCAGCUAACGCAUUAAGCACUCCGCCUGGGAGUACGGCCGCAAGGCUG